Long non-coding RNA from Ictalurus punctatus (channel catfish), 1459 nucleotides. NCBI's taxonomy places the organism in Eukaryota, Metazoa, Chordata, Actinopteri, Siluriformes, Ictaluridae. The record is from Ensembl.
UUUUUUUUUUUUUUUUUUUUUUUUUAACAUUGCUAGGUUUUAACACACAGGAUGUGUGAGAAACGGACAAUUAAUAGAGACCACAGGGUUGGAAGCCUGAAGUAUACAUAAUAUUGACAGUUUAUGAAAACGUAAGCAUCAUAAGCUGCAGGACGGUAACAGAGACAGUGCAAAUUUGCUGUUUCUCGUCACCGUAGCUUGUGUAUGUACUGCAGAAAAAACACCAGAGUGGCAUACUUCGUACAAUGUAAAGUUUUGGUGAUUAAUUUGAUGUUUUUUUAUUAUUAUUUAGAAAUUUAUUUACACCACCUGAUACUGUCCUUUCAUUGACAUUAAUUCUACUUUAAUCUAUUUUCCCAUUAUUACAAAGCAAGUAAUGUUAAAGGUUAAUGUUAAAAGAGUAAGAUCAAUCUUAUAAUGACUAGGCCAACUCAAAUUUUUUUUUUUCCACAAUAAUUUUUUCAUUGUCAGCAAAAUUGAUCAAACAACCUAUUUGAUUUCUCUCUUUCCAUGGCUACGGGAUUAACACAGAUUAUUUAUCUAUAUCUGUACUUAUUUUUCCAGCUUUUUUUGUUUUGUCACCCUAAAACAUUAAUUUCAACGUAUUUUCCUUUUGAAUUUCAUUGUUUCAAAGUUUUAGUAAGUACUGUUUAUGUUUGCUAUUUUUCAAUAACAACGUUGCACAUUUGUUUACAUAUGUAAGAAGAGUGUAUGUUUAACUAGCAUACAGCUGUUCGUAUUUCCAGGAGUCGUGUUCAAAUCAUAGCAUUUUUAUUUUAUCUACAAUGAAAUCGUUGGGCACAAUUAUAAACAAAAAAUUAUAAUUAUAAACAAAAAUAACCAGGUUUUAACUUUUAAUAACUCCUGAUGACACCAUCAGUAAAGUGUUUAUAACUGGUUAUAGGCUCACAUGCAGCUGCAUGACUUUGGAUCACAGGUGUAAAAUGUGAACUAAAUUAAUUUACACUACACAAAUGUCCCUCUGUGCGUAUGUGUGUGUGCGCGUGUGUAUGUGUGUGUGUGUGUGUGUGUGUGUGUGUGUGUGUGUGUGUGUAUGUGUGUGCGUUUUAGAUAGCUUAGAUACCGUGGUCCCUGUUUUCUCAGGCAGUGCAGGGUUCAUUUGGUGCUAGACAAAUUUCACUACUGUGGAAUUCAACCGUUUCUGUUUUUUCCUGUUUUACUCAUGAUUGUUCUUUCCUAUGUAUUUUCUGACACAUAUUUUUUGUGAUGAUUAUUUAAUACUAAAAUGUAGCUACUUUACUAUUUCAGAGAUUUCAGCCUAUUGGUGCAAAUUGCUUCAUCACCAUACUGCUAUGGUGCAGAUAUGCAUAUAUAUUCCAGUACUGUAUGUCUUUAGUUGCACAUGAUUGGUACAUAAUCUACAUUUUUUUGAUGGUGCUGAUUUGAUUACAACUGUUUAAAUGGUUAUGCAAAAAUAAAUUAAUCUUAUAACACAUGG